Molecule: ribosomal RNA, 253 nt
Filed under: uncultured bacterium
Lineage: Bacteria
Description: partial 16S ribosomal RNA
Rfam family: Bacterial small subunit ribosomal RNA
Source: RNAcentral
UACGUAGGGGGCUAGCGUUGUCCGGAAUCAUUGGGCGUAAAGCGCGCGUAGGCGGUCUGGUAAGUCCGCUGUGAAAGUCGGGGGCUCAACCCUCGGAUGCCGGUGGAUACUGUCGGGCUUGAGUACGGAAGAGGCGAGUGGAAUUCCUGGUGUAGCGGUGAAAUGCGCAGAUAUCAGGAGGAACACCAAUUGCGAAGGCAGCUCGCUGGGACGUUACUGACGCUGAGACGCGAAAGCGUGGGGAGCAAACAGG